AUGGAAGAUCUCGUGAAGAAACCCAUGCCAGAGACACCUCCGCGGGCAUUGUUUCUGUUCCUAUUCUUCCUCUUCCUCUUGUUUGUAAGCUGGUUCACUGGAAAGACAAGAAAAAUGCAGCAUCAGCAGCGAGAAAACAACCACCUCCCGCUCCCGCCUUCGCCGCCGGCACUGCCCAUCAUUGGUCACCUGCACCUCGUCGGCUCCCUCCCGCACGUCUCUCUCCGCAGCCUUGCCAGGAAGUAUGGUCCCGACAUGAUGCUUCUGCGCCUGGGCGCCGCGCGGACCCUCGUGGUGUCGUCGCUGCGUGGCGCAGAGGCAGUGCUGCGCACCCACGACCACAUCUUGGCGUCGCGGCCCAGCUCCGUAGUCUCCGACAUCCUCACGUACGGCUCGUCUGAUAUGGCCUUCGCGCCAUACGGCGAGUACUGGCGGCAGGUGAGGAAGCUGGUCACCACCCACAUGUUGAGCGUUAAGAAGGUGCAGUCUUUCCGCAGCGCUGCCAUGGAGGAGGUGAGCUUGGUGAUGGCCAAGAUUAAUGAGGUGGCCACAACCGAUGGUACGGUGGACAUGAGAGAGCUUCUCAGCUUAUUCGCGAAUGACAUGGGGUGCCGCAUCGUAUCGGGAAAGUUCUUCCUAAAAGAUGGACAGAGCAAGUUGUUCCGGGACCUCACCAACGAUACCUCACGGCUGUUAGGAGGGUUCAACGUGGAGGAGUACUUCCCAGGAUUGGCAAGGGUAGGAGUGUUUAAGAGGGCAGUUUGUGCCCAAGCCGAGAGAGUGAGGAAUAGAUGGGCUGAUCUGCUAGACAAGGUGAUCGACGAUCAUGUGAGCAAGGAUAAGUCAACGUUUGAUCACGAGGAUGGUGAUUUUGUAGAUAUUCUGUUGACUUUUCAGCACGAGUAUGAUCUCACAAGAGAGCACAUGAAAGCUAUCCUGAUAGAUGUAUUUGCCGGUGCAACAGACACAUCAGCUAACGCCCUCGAAUUCACCUUGGCCGAGCUCAUGAGGAAGCCACGUGUGAUGGGGAAGCUACAAGCUGAGGUGAGGAGUAACGUACCCCAGGGACAAGAAAUUGUCAGUGAAAUCAACGUGAACAAUAUGGCAUACCUAAGAGCAGUCAUAAAGGAGUCGCUUCGACUGUAUCCUAUUGCGCCUCUCCUUGCUCCACACCUUGCCAUGGAUGACUGCAAUAUUGAUGGAUAUAUGGUUCCUGCUGGGACGCGUGUCAUGGUCAAUGCAUGGGCCAUUGCUAGGGACUCGAGCUUGUGGGAGGACGCAGAAGAGUUCAUACCUGAAAGAUUUACAGAUGAAGGCAGCGCUAUGCAUGUCAAUUUCAAGGGGAAUGAUUUCCAGUUCUUGCCAUUCGGGGCAGGACGAAGGAUGUGCCCCGGUAUGAACCUCGGAAUCGCUAAUGUUGAGCUUAUGUUGGCAAACCUCAUGUACCAUUUUGACUGGGAACUUCCGCUUGGAGUUGAGAGAGAAGACAUUGAUAUGACAGCGGUGUUUGGGCUAACCAUGCGCCGGAAGGAGAAACUAUUGUUAAUUCCAAAAUCCUGGAUGUAG
This 1566-nucleotide ribosomal RNA is filed under the name Triticum aestivum (bread wheat). RNAcentral's name for it is "partial small subunit ribosomal RNA". The record is from RNAcentral. Lineage: Eukaryota; Viridiplantae; Streptophyta; Magnoliopsida; Poales; Poaceae.